AAGAAACGGUAGGAUUCAUCCUAUUCUGACGGUACCUGAAGAAUAAGCACCGGCUAACUCCGUGCCAGCAGCCGCGGUAAUACGGAGGGUGCGAGCGUUAUCCGGAAUUACUGGGUUUAAAGGGUGCGUAGGCGGCUUUGUAAGUCAGGAGUGAAAGUUUGCGGCUCAACCGUAAAAUUGCUUUUGAUACUGCGAGGCUAGAAUUAGGAUGAGGUCAGCGGAAUGUGGCAUGUAGCGGUGAAAUGCAUAGAUAUGCCAUAGAACACCAAUUGCGAAGGCAGCUGACUAGACCUGGAUUGACGCUGAGGCACGAAAGCGUGGGGAGCGAACAGGAUUAGAUACCCUGGUAGUCCACGCCCUAAACGAUGCUUACUCGACGUAUGGCGCUAGACGUUGUGCGUCCAAGGGAAACCGUUAAGUAAGCCACCUGGGGAGUACGACCGCAAGGUUGAAACUCAAAGG
Molecule: ribosomal RNA, 462 nt
Filed under: uncultured bacterium
Lineage: Bacteria
Description: bacterial SSU rRNA
Rfam family: Bacterial small subunit ribosomal RNA
Source: RNAcentral